UACGUGGGGGGCAAGCGUUGUCCGGAAUCAUUGGGCGUAAAGAGCGUGUAGGCGGCCCGGUAAGUCCGCUGUGAAAGUCCAGGGCUCAACCCUGGGAUGCCGGUGGAUACUGUCGGGCUCGAGUCCGGAAGAGGAGUGUGGAAUUCCUGGUGUAGCGGUGAAAUGCGCAGAUAUCAGGAGGAACACCAAUGGCGAAGGCAGCACUCUGGGACGUGACUGACGCUGAGACGCGAAAGCGUGGGGAGCGAACAGG
This 253-nucleotide ribosomal RNA is filed under the name uncultured bacterium. RNAcentral describes it as "partial 16S ribosomal RNA". It matches the Rfam family "Bacterial small subunit ribosomal RNA", at positions 524 to 776 of the family's 1533-position model. The record is from RNAcentral.